CUGGUUUUAAAAUGUUCUCAGUAUUUUUGAAAAUGAAAACCAUUUAAAAUCCAUUUCCGUUCAUAGACGUAAUUUCUCAAAAACUUACAUCUAUGAUAAGUGGUGGGGAAAAACCCUUAAUUCAAAAGAACAUAAGACAACUAUUUAAUUUCUAGGUCCAACUACAUUUUACACCAUCAAAGUUUGGCCUCGUUAUCAAAAUGGGCACGAAGUUUCAAUUUUCUCGCAACAGAAACACCUCAGCGCCACAGUGGGUAACAUAUUGGCAA
Molecule: long non-coding RNA, 269 nt
Filed under: Prunus dulcis (almond)
Lineage: Eukaryota; Viridiplantae; Streptophyta; Magnoliopsida; Rosales; Rosaceae
Description: sRNA ncRNA
Source: RNAcentral